GCCCUUAGAGUUUGAUCCUGGCUCAGGACGAACGCUGGCGGCGUGCCUAACACAUGCAAGUCGAGCGAGAAAGCCAGUCCUUCGGGGCUGGUGAGUAGAGCGGCGAACGGGUGAGUAACGCGUGGAUAACCUACCCUUAAGACGGGGAUAACCCCGGGAAACUGGGGCUAAUACCCGAUAAGCUCACAGUCUUUAAAGGGUUGUGAGCAAAGGCGGCAUAUGUGCUGUCGUUUAAGGAUGGGUCCGCGUACCAUUAGCCAGCUGGUGGGGUAAGGGCCUACCAGGGCGACAAUGGUUAGCUGGUCUUAGAGGACGGCCAGCCACACUGGGACUGAGACACGGCCCAGACUCCUACGGGAGGCAGCAGUGGGGGAUCUUGCACAAUGGGCGCAAGUCUGAUGCAGCGACGCCGCGUGGGUGAAGAAGGCCUUCGGGUCGUAAAGCCCUGUUGUGGGGGAAGAAAGACCUCGGUGCGAACAGUGCCGGGGUUUGACGGUACCCCAGAUAGAAAGCCCCGGCUAACUACGUGCCAGCAGCCGCGGUAACACGUAGGGGGCAAGCGUUGUCCGGAAUUAUUGGGCGUAAAGGGCACGCAGGCGGUCGUGUAUGUCA
RNAcentral lists this ribosomal RNA (612 nucleotides) under uncultured low G+C Gram-positive bacterium. RNAcentral describes it as "bacterial SSU rRNA". It matches the Rfam family "Bacterial small subunit ribosomal RNA", at positions 1 to 590 of the family's 1533-position model. The record is from RNAcentral. Lineage: Bacteria; Bacillati; Bacillota.